Cebus imitator (Panamanian white-faced capuchin) is the source of this 571-nucleotide long non-coding RNA. RefSeq lists it as uncharacterized. The record is from RefSeq and is a predicted model, not a curated record. NCBI's taxonomy places the organism in Eukaryota, Metazoa, Chordata, Mammalia, Primates, Cebidae. The transcript is spliced from 2 exons.
GUGCAAGGGAAUGAGCUAGGAGAUCCUUGCAACUGAUUGUUUGCAGGAGUUGUUUUCUGGGCACAAAAUAGAGUCUGAGCACUGGAAAUACAACAGGGGGAAUUAUAUUCAAGGGACUUCCUGGAGGCCGGAUCACAAGAUUUGACAAGCGAUUGAAUGUGGGGGUGAAGGGAGCAGUGCUGUGACUGAUUGGGAAGAGGUUUCCUUGCUGUUACUCAAAACAGAGCUUCAGAGUCGGUGUGGUUUCUGUGAAUGGAUUUUCCACAACUAUCAAGCAUUGGGAAACCAAGAAGCCUGGUUCAAGAUUGAUUAGGACCGUCGCCAUAUAUAAGCCUGAAAAUUUGGUCCCCUGACAAGAUAAGCACAGACAAGAGACUCUAUCAGUGUCAGCAGCUGCCUCAUGUUAAGACGUGCAUUUUGGGCAGCAGUUCUAAAAAUGGCUAACUGGCUUUAGCAGAAAGAAUGCCUCAUGUGUUCUCCUAGAGCAGGGGGUGCACCCUUGAUGAAAGCCGAGUGACUUUUUAGAUAAGAGUGCUAUGUCUGAUUGUUAUUAAAAUGUCACCCUUGGUAA